CCUACGGGAGGCAGCAGUGGGGGAUAUUGCACAAUGGGGGGAACCCUGAUGCAGCGACGCCGCGUGGGUGAAGGAGUGCUUCGGCAUGUAAAGCCCUAUCGGCAGGGAAGAAGCAAGACGGUACCUGACUAAGAAGCCCCGGCUAACUACGUGCCAGCAGCCGCGGUAAUACGUAGGGGGCGAGCGUUAUCCGGAUUCACUGGGUGUAAAGGGAGCGUAGACGGCCAUGCAAGCCAGGGGUGAAAGCCCGGGGCCCAACCCCGGGACUGCCCUUGGAACUGCAUGGCUGGAGUGCGGGAGUGGCAGGCGGAAUUCCUGGUGUAGCGGUGAAAUGCGUAGAUAUCAGGAGGAACACCGGCGGCGAAGGCGGCCUGCUGGACAUUAACUGACGCUGAGGCACGAAGGCCAGGGGAGCGAAAGGGAUUAGAUACCCGUGUAGUC
RNAcentral lists this ribosomal RNA (441 nucleotides) under uncultured bacterium. Its description in RNAcentral is "partial 16S ribosomal RNA". It matches the Rfam family "Bacterial small subunit ribosomal RNA", at positions 338 to 795 of the family's 1533-position model. The record is from RNAcentral.